RNAcentral lists this unclassified non-coding RNA (345 nucleotides) under soil metagenome. RNAcentral's name for it is "partial contains 5.8S ribosomal RNA, internal transcribed spacer 2, and large subunit ribosomal RNA". The stretch from base 1 to 120 matches the Rfam family "5.8S ribosomal RNA", at positions 35 to 154 of the family's 154-position model. The record is from RNAcentral.
GAUGAAGAACGUAGCGAAAUGCGAUACGUAAUGUGAAUUGCAGAAUUCAGUGAAUCAUCGAGUCUUUGAACGCACAUUGCGCCCCCUGGUAUUCCGGGGGGCAUGCCUGUCCGAGCGUCAUUGCUGCCCUCAAGCACGGCUUGUGUGUUGGGCCUCCGUCCUCCUCCCGGGGGACGGGCCCGAAAGGCAGCGGCGGCACCGCGUCCGGUCCUCGAGCGUAUGGGGCUUCGUCACCCGCUCUUGUAGGCCCGGCCGGCGCUUGCCGACACAUCAAUCUUUUUUCCAGGUUGACCUCGGAUCAGGUAGGGAUACCCGCUGAACUUAAGCAUAUCAGUAAGCGGAGGA